RNAcentral lists this ribosomal RNA (253 nucleotides) under uncultured bacterium. RNAcentral describes it as "partial 16S ribosomal RNA". It matches the Rfam family "Bacterial small subunit ribosomal RNA", at positions 524 to 776 of the family's 1533-position model. The record is from RNAcentral.
UACGAAGGGGGCUAGCGUUGUUCGGAAUCACUGGGCGUAAAGGGCGCGUAGGCGGCCUUCUAAGUCGAACGUGAAAUCCCCGGGCUCAACCCGGGAACUGCGUCCGAUACUGGAAGGCUUGAAUCCGGGAGAGGGAUGCGGAAUUCCAGGUGUAGCGGUGAAAUGCGUAGAUAUCUGGAGGAACACCGGUGGCGAAGGCGGCAUCCUGGACCGGCAUUGACGCUGAGGCGCGAAAGCCAGGGGAGCAAACGGG